RNAcentral lists this RNase P RNA (372 nucleotides) under Rhodovulum bhavnagarense. RNAcentral describes it as "Bacterial RNase P class A". It matches the Rfam family "Bacterial RNase P class A". From Rfam's summary of the family: Ribonuclease P (RNase P) is a ubiquitous endoribonuclease, found in archaea, bacteria and eukarya as well as chloroplasts and mitochondria. The record is from RNAcentral. Lineage: Bacteria; Pseudomonadati; Pseudomonadota; Alphaproteobacteria; Rhodobacterales; Paracoccaceae.
GCGGAUGGCCGGAUGGCCGCGGGCGGUCACGUCCGAGGAAAGUCCGGACUCCACGGAGCAACGGUGCCGGGUAACGCCCGGCGGGGGCAACCCCAGGGAAAGCGCCACAGAGAACAGACCGCCCCUGUGCGCAGGGGUAAGGGUGAAACGGUGGGGUAAGAGCCCACCGCGGGACUGGUAACAGGACCGGCACGGCAAGCCCCACCGGGAGCAAUGCCGAAUAGGGACCCCGCGCGGGCAAUCCGCAGGGCGGCUUCGGCCCAGGGGUCCGGGUUGGCAGCUAGACGUGCAUCGGUAACGGUGCGCCUAGAGGAAUGGUCAUCCAGGGGCGUAAGCCCCGGACAGAAUCCGGCUUACAGGCCGUCCGCGCGC